RNAcentral lists this ribosomal RNA (429 nucleotides) under uncultured Enterobacteriaceae bacterium. Its description in RNAcentral is "bacterial SSU rRNA". It matches the Rfam family "Bacterial small subunit ribosomal RNA", at positions 355 to 776 of the family's 1533-position model. The record is from RNAcentral. Lineage: Bacteria; Pseudomonadati; Pseudomonadota; Gammaproteobacteria; Enterobacterales; Enterobacteriaceae.
UGGGGAAUAUUGCACAAUGGGCGCAAGCCUGAUGCAGCCAUGCCGCGUGUAUGAAGAAGGCCUUCGGGUUGUAAAGUACUUUCAGCGAGGAGGAAGGCAUUAAGGUUAAUAACCUUGGUGAUUGACGUUACUCGCAGAAGAAGCACCGGCUAACUCCGUGCCAGCAGCCGCGGUAAUACGGAGGGUGCAAGCGUUAAUCGGAAUUACUGGGCGUAAAGCGCACGCAGGCGGUCUGUCAAGUCGGAUGUGAAAUCCCCGGGCUCAACCUGGGAACUGCAUCCGAAACUGGCAGGCUAGAGUCUUGUAGAGGGGGGUAGAAUUCCAGGUGUAGCGGUGAAAUGCGUAGAGAUCUGGAGGAAUACCGGUGGCGAAGGCGGCCCCCUGGACAAAGACUGACGCUCAGGUGCGAAAGCGUGGGGAGCAAACAGG